UGAACGCUGGCGGCGUGCCUAAUACAUGCAAGUAGAACGCUGAAGGAAGGAGCUUGCUCUUUCCGGAUGAGUUGCGAACGGGUGAGUAACGCGUAGGUAACCUGCCUGGUAGCGGGGGAUAACUAUUGGAAACGAUAGCUAAUACCGCAUAACAGUAGAUGUUGCAUGACAACUAUUUGAAAGGGGCAAUUGCUCCACUACCAGAUGGACCUGCGUUGUAUUAGCUAGUUGGUGAGGUAACGGCUCACCAAGGCGACGAUACAUAGCCGACCUGAGAGGGUGAUCGGCCACACUGGGACUGAGACACGGCCCAGACGCCUACGGGAGGCAGCAGUAGGGAAUCUUCGGCAAUGGACGGAAGUCUGACCGAGCAACGCCGCGUGAGUGAAGAAGGUUUUCGGAUCGUAAAGCUCUGUUGUAAGAGAAGAACGAGUGUGAGAGUGGAAAGUUCACACUGUGACGGUAUCUUACCAGAAAGGGACGGCUAACUACGUG
Molecule: ribosomal RNA, 495 nt
Filed under: uncultured bacterium
Lineage: Bacteria
Description: partial 16S ribosomal RNA
Rfam family: Bacterial small subunit ribosomal RNA
Source: RNAcentral